CCAGGUAACAUUAAAUCGUACCCCAAACCGACACAGGUGGUCAGGUAGAGAAUACCAAGGCGCUUGAGAGAACUCGGGUGAAGGAACUAGGCAAAAUGGUGCCGUAACUUCGGGAGAAGGCACGCUGGCAUGUAGGUGAAGUCCCUUGCGGAUGGAGCUGAAGCCAGUCGAAGAUACCAGCUGGCUGCAACUGUUUAAUAAAAACACAGCACUGUGCAAACACGAAAGUGGACGUAUACGGUGUGACGCCUGCCCGGUGCUGGAAGGUUAAUUGAUGGGGUCAGCCGCAAGGCGAAGCUCUUGAUCGAAGCCCCAGUAAACGGCGGCCGUAACUAUAACGGUCCUAAGGUAGCGAAAUUCCUUGUCGGGUAAGUUCCGACCUGCACGAAUGGCGUAAUGAUGGCCAGGCUGUCUCCACCCGAGACUCAGUGAAAUUGAACUCGCUGUGAAGAUGCAGUGUACCCGCGGCAAGACGGAAAGACCCCGUGAACCUUUACUAUAGCUUGACACUGAACAUUGAGCCUUGAUGUGUAGGAUAGGUGGGAGGCUUUGAAGCGUGGACGCCAGUCUGCGUGGAGCCAUCCUUGAAAUACCACCCUUUAAUGUUUGAUGUUCUAACUCGGCCCCGUGAUCCGGGGUGAGGACAGUGUCUGGUGGGUAGUUUGACUGGGGCGGUCUCCUCCCAAAGAGUAACGGAGGAGCACGAAGGUUAGCUAAUCACGGUCGGACAUCGUGAGGUUAGUGCAAAGGCAUAAGCUAGCUUGACUGCGAGAGUGACGGCUCGAGCAGGUACGAAAGUAGGUCUUAGUGAUCCGGUGGUUCUGAAUGGAAGGGCCAUCGCUCAACGGAUAAAAGGUACUCCGGGGAUAACAGGCUGAUACCGCCCAAGAGUUCAUAUCGACGGCGGUGUUUGGCACCUCGAUGUCGGCUCAUCACAUCCUGGGGCUGAAGUAGGUCCCAAGGGUAUGGCUGUUCGCCAUUUAAAGUGGUACGCGAGCUGGGUUUAGAACGUCGUGAGACAGUUCGGUCCCUAUCUGCCGUGGGCGUUGGAAGAUUGAGAGGGGUUGCUCCUAGUACGAGAGGACCGGAGUGAACGCACCACUGGUGUUCGGGUUGUCAUGCCAAUGGCAUUGCCCGGUAGCUAAGUGCGGAAAAGAUAAGCGCUGAAAGCAUCUAAGCGCGAAACUUGCCUCAAGAUGAGUCUUCCCUGGGCCUUCAAGGCCCCUGAAGGAACGUUUAAGACUAAGACGUUGAUAGGCUGGGUGUGUAAGUGCAGCGAUGCAUUGAGCUAACCAGUACUAAUGAUCCGUGAGGCUUAACCUU
Molecule: ribosomal RNA, 1323 nt
Filed under: Serratia marcescens
Lineage: Bacteria; Pseudomonadati; Pseudomonadota; Gammaproteobacteria; Enterobacterales; Yersiniaceae
Description: partial 23S ribosomal RNA
Rfam family: Bacterial large subunit ribosomal RNA
Source: RNAcentral